This is a long non-coding RNA of Neofelis nebulosa (Clouded leopard), 555 nucleotides long. RefSeq lists it as uncharacterized. The transcript is spliced from 3 exons. The record is from RefSeq and is a predicted model, not a curated record. Lineage: Eukaryota; Metazoa; Chordata; Mammalia; Carnivora; Felidae.
CCUCUACCUUUUGUUGAAGGGGUAAGCGAUGUUGCAAUGGAAGCAUGCCCCAAAGCCUUGACAAAUGAACAUGUGACUGGUGAACAGAAACUAAAAUUUGUUCCUUUAUUUCUUCCAAUGCUUGCGUUCCUCCUGAGUAACAGGCUCCGCACUGGGUGCUGAACAGCACAAGAGCCCUGGCCCUUGAAGGAAAUGAAGUCUGUCUGGGAAGCAAGGAAGCAACUGGACUGGUACACACAGCCUAGAGCAAGGUGAACCUCUUUGUGAAAAGGAACCUUGUGGUAGACACAGAUGAACAAUGCUCUUUCCUUUUGGAAAUUAACCAAGUGAACAAUACAGCGGUGCAUUAUAUCAUCUUGCCUCCCUCUGGCACUCACUACUUAUCUCAGUACAGGGAAGCCAGUGCCCAUCCCACAAGUGGCCAGUCACUGGAGGCUCCAGGAGGCAAACGCAGGCUUCUCCUUGUUUGUGCUUGCGCAGUUAAAUAAACCAAGUCAAAGGCAAAUGACAAACUUGCAGCAUAUAAAACAUACAAAGUAUUCAUAUCCUUAAGGA